CGAACGCUGGCGGCAUGCCUAAGACAUGCAAGUCGAACGAGAAGGCCAAUGAUUAUGGAGUGCUUGCACAAAGUAUGAUUUGGAUUUCCUUCUAGUGGCAAACGGGUGAGUAACACGUGGGUUACCUACCUCUAAGACGGGGACAACAGUUGGAAACGGACACUAAUACCGGAUGAUUCAUAUUUAGAUAACUAAAUAUGCUAAAAGGAGCGUUUGCUUCACUUCGAGAUGGGCUUGCGGCGUAUUAACUAGUUGGUGGGGUAAUGGCCUACCAAGGUGACGAUGCGUAGCCGAACUGAGAGGUUGAUCGGCCACAUUGGGACUGAGACACGGCCCAAACUCCUACGGGAGGCAGCAGUUAGGAAUAUUCGUCAAUGGGGGAAACCCUGAACGAGCAAUGCCGCGUGAGUGAUGACGGUCUUUAUGAUUGUAAAACUCUGUUGUAAGGAAUGAAACCUUAAGAUAGGAAAUGAUCUUAAGCUGACGGUACCUUACCAGAAAGCCCCGGCUAACUACGUG
This 519-nucleotide ribosomal RNA is filed under the name uncultured bacterium. Its description in RNAcentral is "bacterial SSU rRNA". It matches the Rfam family "Bacterial small subunit ribosomal RNA", at positions 30 to 507 of the family's 1533-position model. The record is from RNAcentral.